Molecule: long non-coding RNA, 666 nt
Organism: Chloebia gouldiae (Gouldian finch)
Lineage: Eukaryota; Metazoa; Chordata; Aves; Passeriformes; Passeridae
Source: Ensembl
GCCGCCUCUCGCCCGCCGCGGCGGGGCGCGGGCGGGGAUCCCUGGGGCUCCGCGGGGACAGGCGGACAGCUCGGGAUCGGAAGUGCGCAACAGGUGGGGCUCUGCAUUGCCUCAGCGAAAGUCCGUCUGAGAGCCUCUGGCCUUGCUGUGUCCGCACCCCUUUAGUGUGUGCUCUUACCCACAUCUUGAAACUGGGGAUACCUAUAGAAAAGAAACAUAUGGCAGUGGAGUUCUCGGAACUGCCCUAUGUGCUCUGUCUCCUGCAUACACUUAGAAGUUUCACGUGGAUCAGGAGCUUUCCCUCUGUCUUGUACAGCCCUGAAACAGGUUAGUUUGCCUGCCAAAUAAGCCAUGGCUAGAUACCCACAUUUCUUCCACCUCCCCAUCAUGUUCUGGACCCACUUCUACACAGAGGUUGCAAAAUAGAGGAUGUUAUCCGGACUGAUGUGGCUGCUCCAAUCUGCUACCCCAAAUGAUGAGGCUUGCAAUACCAUUGGAAUAAAGUCUACUCCUACAGAACCCUACAGAAACAAUACAGGAUUUUUUUAUAUUUUUCCAGUCCUGUCUUGCUUUCUUUCCCCUCCGCCCAUACCCACCUCUCGGGGAAGCUGGGCGAGCAGAGCAGAGCACGAAGGGAAGCUGGGCGAGCAGCGCCGUCGCGCCCCA